This is a long non-coding RNA of Carassius auratus (goldfish), 471 nucleotides long. RefSeq lists it as uncharacterized. NCBI's taxonomy places the organism in Eukaryota, Metazoa, Chordata, Actinopteri, Cypriniformes, Cyprinidae. The record is from RefSeq and is a predicted model, not a curated record. The transcript has 3 exons.
UUCAUAUUCCAUGAACAAACACGUCCGUCCCAAAUGGCUUGGCAGCAUGAGAAUGAAAGCACAGACUGUACGUCUGAAUCCAGACCCAUGCCAGCAGCUGGGAGUUACACCCAUUCAUAUGGCCUCUGGAGAUAAACUCAAUGGGGUUAAAUUAAUCUCAUUGGGCGACUGCAGCCUAAAGGGCUCAAGAUAAUUAUAGAUUGAUUCAAUGCUUCCUGCUUUCGACAAAAAUCCAAGCUUUUCAGCAAUUAUGCUGCUCCCGGAACCAAAAGAAGAAAGUCAUGACAACAUGAGGUUUGGUAAAUGAUGAGCUAUUCCUCUAAGUUCAUUGAUUCAGCAGCAGAGAGCAUCCCAUUUUAUCUCUUAGCUUGACACAAUCAGAGCGAUCGCCUCUAAGAUUGAAGAAUCCCUCAUAUAAAUAACAAUCUCUGUUUAUGUGGAGGAGGUGCUGUAUUGGGAAUACUAAGCAGU